This 251-nucleotide ribosomal RNA is filed under the name uncultured bacterium. RNAcentral's name for it is "partial 16S ribosomal RNA". It matches the Rfam family "Bacterial small subunit ribosomal RNA", at positions 87 to 339 of the family's 1533-position model. The record is from RNAcentral.
GUACACGAGCGGCGAACGGGUGAGUAACACGUGGGUGAUCUGCCCUGCACUCUGGGAUAAGCCUGGGAAACUGGGUCUAAUACUGGAUAUGACCUGCUCUCGCAUGGGGGUGGGUGGAAAGAUUUAUCGGUGCAGGAUGGGCCCGCGGCCUAUCAGCUUGUUGGUGGGGUAAUGGCCUACCAAGGCGACGACGGGUAGCCGACCUGAGAGGGUGACCGGCCACACUGGGACUGAGACACGGCCCAGACUCC